Molecule: transfer RNA, 84 nt
Filed under: Ipomoea nil (Japanese morning glory)
Lineage: Eukaryota; Viridiplantae; Streptophyta; Magnoliopsida; Solanales; Convolvulaceae
Rfam family: tRNA
About the family: Transfer RNA (tRNA) molecules are approximately 80 nucleotides in length. Their secondary structure includes four short double-helical elements and three loops (D, anti-codon, and T loops).
Source: Rfam by way of RNAcentral
GUUAGGAUGGCUGAGUGGUCUAAAGCUCUAAAUUCAAGUUUUGAUUUUCGUGAAAGAGCGUGCGUUCAAAUCCCACUUCUAACA